This 380-nucleotide ribosomal RNA is filed under the name uncultured eukaryote. Its description in RNAcentral is "partial 18S ribosomal RNA". It matches the Rfam family "Eukaryotic small subunit ribosomal RNA", at positions 592 to 976 of the family's 1831-position model. The record is from RNAcentral.
CAAUAGCGUAUAUUAAAGUUGUUGCGGUUAAAAAGCUCGUAGUUGGAUUUCUGUUGAGAGCAGCGCGCCUACCUUUUGGGUAAGUAUGUUGCUUGGUCUCGGCAUCUUCGUGGAAAACGUUUCUGCGCUUGAUUGCGUGGGGCGGGGUUCACGACUUUUACUUUGAGGAAAUUAGAGUGUUCACGGCAGGCAUACGCCUUGAAUAUAUUAGCAUGGAAUAAUAACAUAGGGCUUACGGCCUAUUUUGUUGGUUUCUAGGCUGCAGGCAAUGAUUAAUAGGGACAAUUGGGGGCAUUCGUAUUAACGCGUCAGAGGUGAAAUUCUUGGAUUGCGUUACGACGAACUACUGCGAAAGCAUUUGCCAAGGAUGUUUUCAUUGA